Molecule: ribosomal RNA, 497 nt
Filed under: uncultured bacterium
Lineage: Bacteria
Description: partial 16S ribosomal RNA
Rfam family: Bacterial small subunit ribosomal RNA
Source: RNAcentral
GAUGAACGCUGGCGGCGUGCCUAAUACAUGCAAGUCGAGCGAACGGACGAGAAGCUUGCUUCUCUGAUGUUAGCGGCGGACGGGUGAGUAACACGUGGAUAACCUACCUAUAAGACUGGGAUAACUUCGGGAAACCGGAGCUAAUACCGGAUAAUAUUUUGAACCGCAUGGUUCAAAAGUGAAAGACGGUCUUGCUGUCACUUAUAGAUGGAUCCGCGCUGCAUUAGCUAGUUGGUAAGGUAACGGCUGACCAAGGCAACGAUGCAUAGCCGACCUGAGAGGGUGAUCUGCCACACUGGAACUGAGACACGGUCCAGACUCCUACGGGAGGCAGCAGUAGGGAAUCUUCCGCAAUGGGCGAAAGCCUGACGGAGCAACGCCGCGUGAGUGAUGAAGGUCUUCGGAUCGUAAAACUCUGUUAUUAGGGAAGAACAUAUGUGUAAGUAACUGUGCACAUCUUGACGGUACCUAAUCAGAAAGCCACGGCUAACUACGUG